This is a small nucleolar RNA of Ictidomys tridecemlineatus (thirteen-lined ground squirrel), 113 nucleotides long. Lineage: Eukaryota; Metazoa; Chordata; Mammalia; Rodentia; Sciuridae. The record is from Ensembl.
AGCAUUUGUGUGUGUUUUUGUUUGACUUGUGGACAAAGAUUUAUAGACAAGUGCAAAAAAUAAAUCCUCUUUUACAACCCAGAACGUAUAUGAUACAUGUAAGCAGGAAUACC